GCGGAACACUCACCACAGGCAUGGAGCGGGGGACCCAGGUUCCACGGUGCACGUCACCUCGGGGUGAAGCCGCCCGAUCCGGGCGGCCGGGCUCCUCGGCCCGAACCCGACAGCUCACCUCGUCGGCGUGGAGGAACCCAUGG
Molecule: small RNA, 143 nt
Filed under: Micromonospora yangpuensis
Lineage: Bacteria; Bacillati; Actinomycetota; Actinomycetes; Micromonosporales; Micromonosporaceae
Description: c-di-AMP sequence
Rfam family: c-di-AMP riboswitch aptamer (ydaO/yuaA leader)
About the family: This family represents a conserved RNA structure found upstream of the ydaO and yuaA genes in Bacillus subtilis and related genes in other bacteria. The ydaO/yuaA element is thought to act as a genetic "off" switch for the ydaO and yuaA genes in its native state.
Source: Rfam by way of RNAcentral